AGAGUUUGAUCCUGGCUCAGGAUGAACUCUAGCGGCAGGCUUAACACAUGCAAGUCGAGGGGCAGCGGGUGUAGCAAUACAUGCCGGCGACCGGCGCAAGGGUGCGUAACGCGUGAGCAAUCUGCCCGUAUCAGGGGGAUAAGCGAUGGAAACGUCGUCUAAUACCGCAUAACACCAAUGAUGGCAUCAUCGAUGGUUGAAAGCUUCGGUGGAUACGGAUGAGCUCGCGAGACAUUAGUUAGUUGGCGGGGUAACGGCCCACCAAGACCGCGAUGUCUAGGGGAACUGAGAGGUUGGUCCCCCACACUGGAACUGAGACACGGUCCAGACUCCUACGGGAGGCAGCAGUGAGGAAUAUUGGACAAUGGCCGGAAGGCUGAUCCAGCCAUGCCGCGUGAAGGAAUAAGGUCCUAUGGAUUGUAAACUUCUUUUGUACGAGAGCAAUAAGUGUCACGAGUGACACGAUGAGAGUAUCGUACGAAUAAGCAUCGGCUAACUCCGUGCCAGCAGCCGCGGUAAUACGGAGGAUGCGAGCGUUAUCCGGAUUUAUUGGGUUUAAAGGGUGCGUAGGCGGGAUUUUAAGUCAGCGGUGAAACGCAAGGGCUCAACCCUUGACCUGCCGUUGAAACUGGAGUUCUUGAAUGCGGAUGCUGUGGGAGGAAUGUGUGGUGUAGCGGUGAAAUGCAUAGAUAUCACACAGAACACCGAUUGCGAAGGCAUCUCACAAAUCCGUGAUUGACGCUGAGGCACGAAAGUGUGGGGAUCAAACAGGAUUAGAUACCCUGGUAGUCCACACUGUAAACGAUGAUAACUCGCU
Molecule: ribosomal RNA, 817 nt
Filed under: uncultured bacterium
Lineage: Bacteria
Description: bacterial SSU rRNA
Rfam family: Bacterial small subunit ribosomal RNA
Source: RNAcentral